GAAGGGUUUCAUCCAGUCGCUGUCGGCUUGCCGAUGGAGGAAAGUCCGGGCUCCGCAGGGCAGGGUGCAGGAGAAAUUCCUGUGGGUGCGAACCCAAGGAAAGUGCCACAGAAAACAAACCGCCGGGAAACCGGCAAGGGUGAAAAGGCGAGGCAAGAGCUCACCGGACGCGCGGCGACGCGCGUGCCUGGCAAACCCCACCCGGAGCAAGAUCGAAUAGGGGAGGAUGACGCGGCCCGCCGACUCCCGGGUACGAUCGCUCAGAUAAAUGACUGGACACGACAGAACCCGGCUUACGAAACGCUUCCCGC
RNAcentral lists this RNase P RNA (311 nucleotides) under Synergistaceae bacterium. RNAcentral describes it as "RNase P RNA component class A". It matches the Rfam family "Bacterial RNase P class A". Rfam says of the family: Ribonuclease P (RNase P) is a ubiquitous endoribonuclease, found in archaea, bacteria and eukarya as well as chloroplasts and mitochondria. Its best characterised activity is the generation of mature 5'-ends of tRNAs by cleaving the 5'-leader elements of precursor-tRNAs. Lineage: Bacteria; Thermotogati; Synergistota; Synergistia; Synergistales; Synergistaceae. The record is from RNAcentral.